GACGAACGCUGGCGGCGUGCUUAACACAUGCAAGUCGAACGGUGAACCAGAGCUUGCUCUGGGGAUCAGUGGCGAACGGGUGAGUAACACGUGGGCAACCUGCCCCAGACUCUGGGAUAACCUCGGGAAACCGAUGCUAAUACCGGAUACGACCACUUCGGACAUCCGACGGUGGUGGAAAGUUUUUCGGUCUGGGAUGGGCCCGCGGCCUAUCAGCUAGUUGGUGGGGCAAUGGCCUACCAAGGCGACGACGGGUAGCCGGCCUGAGAGGGCGACCGGCCACACUGGAACUGAGACACGGUCCAGACUCCUACGGGAGGCAGCAGUGGGAAUAUUGCACAAUGGGCGAAAGCCUGAUGCAGCGACGCCGCGUGAGGGACGACGGCC
This 387-nucleotide ribosomal RNA is filed under the name uncultured bacterium. Its description in RNAcentral is "bacterial SSU rRNA". It matches the Rfam family "Bacterial small subunit ribosomal RNA", at positions 28 to 416 of the family's 1533-position model. The record is from RNAcentral.